Molecule: ribosomal RNA, 437 nt
Filed under: uncultured Oomycota
Lineage: Eukaryota; Oomycota
Description: LSU rRNA
Rfam family: Eukaryotic large subunit ribosomal RNA
Source: RNAcentral
AGCACAGCGAUUUGGGAUAAGUCCCUUGGAAAAGGGCAGCAUAGAGGGUGAUACUCCCGUCUUUGCCCAGGUUGUCUAUGUGUACGAUACGUUUUCUUUGAGUCGAGUUGUUUGGGAAUGCAGCUCAAAGUAGGUGGUAAAUUCCAUCUAAAGCUAAAUAUAGGUGCAAAACCGAUAGCGAACAAGUACCGUGAGGGAAAGAUGAAAAGAACUUUGAAAAGAGAGUUAAAGAGUACCUGAAGCUGUUGAAAGGGAACCGUAUCGUUUCUAGUGUUUAUCUCAUGCAUAUUUCAUUGGCGGUUGCAAAAUUGUUGUGCCCUGUGUAUGAGUGUGACGUCAGAGUCAGUUUAAGCUGCGGGAGAUGGGUAGAGAGGAGGUGAUCCGCUUGCGGAAGUUACAGCUUUCUGCCUAGUAGCCGUGGUUGAGACUGAGGUGCC